AAGAGCACAAGAACACGGCUGGCUCCUCUCGGCCUCAACUUGGCCUCUUCACACUGGAGUAGCUGGUCACAUUAGUUUACUGAGAAAGAAAAAUGUACAAGAAUUUGAAGAAACUAAAGCACAGUACUGUUGCGCAUCAACCACACCGAGUAAAUUCUGCCUGACAUGGAAUCGUUUGGUCAGGUAUGUGCUUUGUACUCUAUGGCUUAUGAUUCAGUUUUCCACCUUGAGAUAUGAAAUCAAAACUUCAGAUCAUAUUCUAAAUUCACCAAGGAUAUACUGUGGUUAUUAUUAUGUCUUUGCUGCGGUCUAUGUUGAGGGUGAUACUGAGACUAGAGUCUACAACAACAACAUCAAUAAUUAACUGAACAUACCUGAGAUGUGUGGUCAACAUGAUGGUAUGUUAAUCCGAGGUUUGAGCAUUUUUUUCCUAUGGCGAUCUGUUUGUUUUAGAAAUAUUCAUUAGUCAAAUUUACUAAUGCAAAUGUGUUAGCCGAGCACGAGCUACCUGAGUUAUUUCUUGAAGAACUCCCGGCUAAUUUUUGUUCUCUUGAAAUACCACACCCACCCCUAUAAAACUAGGCAUACCAACAGGGACUAGCUCCUGUGGCUUUUCUGUAAAGGAGAGACAACCGGGAGCUGCUUGUGGAGUUAAGGGCUCUUAACGUAGUUCUUCAUGCAGCUUAAUUUGGACUCCUCUCAGUAUAUCGUGUUAUCAUUUCCGAAUCCAUGGCAUUCUCAUUCUUUACAGAAUUUUAGGUUUUGUUCAUUUUUCGUUCAUGUAUGGGAAAUUUAAUCUUUUCAGGCAAGCUUCACUUGGUUCAAUCUGGGGAUAGUGAUGUCAACAAAUCACUGGAAGAGUUAAGUAAGUGCAGUCUGUAUCUCCUUUUUUUGUACUCCCUCCGUUCCUAAAUAUAAGUCUUUUUAGAGAUUCCAAUAUGACUACAUACAAAGCAAAAUGGGUGAAUCUACACUCUAAAAUAUGUCUAUAUACAUCCGUAUGUAGUUUGUAUUGAAAUCUCUAAAAGGACUUAUAUUUAGAAACAGAGGGAGUAUAAGGGAAGGCAUCACAGUUUCUUCUUCUUCUUCUAAGCCUUUUGUCCCAAACAAGUUGGGGUAGGCUAGAUGAAACCCUUUCACGAGGACUUCCCAGGAGGUCACCCAUCCUAGUACUACUCUCGCCCAAAUGGGUUUCAUACCCAAAGGACUGGCUAGUUUUUACGUUGGCUCGCCAAGCCUAUCACAACCCUUAUAUAUGAAAUCCUUUCAUGAGGACUUCCCAAGAGGUCACCCAUCCUAGUACUACUCUCGCUCAAAUGGGUCUCAUACCCAUGGGACUGGCUAGUUUUUACGUUGGCUCGCCAAGCCUAUCACAACCCUCCUCCUUUACCCGGGCUUGGGACCGGCUAUGCCUAAAAGACAUAGGCGGAGUUAAGGGAAGGCAUCACAUCACAGCACAUCACAUCACAUCACAUCACAGCUAGUUUUUUUUUGUUUUUGUUUUUUUUUUCACAGGGAAGGCAUCACAGCACAGUAAAAAAAAUGUAGAACAUCGGACAGGCAGCGUUGCUGUUCUUUCCAGUGAACAGACUUGUGUGCAUAAAGAAGUGCUUUAGCCUGUAACAGGUGUUCAUCACAUAAGAUCAUCACAGCAACCUUCCUUUUGGAAGGGGAUGAUGGGCUAUUUUAGUUGCGACCUGAUACCGAGGGACAAUGAGCAAGAGAGUUGGCCAACUGAAGUGUUAGUUUCAGGGUACAUUUGCCGAAACGCUUUUAUUAGUUUCAUCCAUAAUACCGGGACUGGAGAUCUGAAUGCCCUUGUAUAUGCAAGCGGUGUGCUCUCUCUCCCCAUUUUUUUUAGUGUAUGGGUGCUCUUCGGGUUGUUGAAAUCGAGUUUGUAUGGAGCUCCAUAACAGCAGGACGGUAUGCGUGGACUUUUAUUUUGGAUAAUGCUUCUGCGUACUGUGUUGAACUGCAAUUUGUCUGGUGAGUUUAACUGAAAUAUAUGUAAUAUGCAUGGCAGAGGAAAUGUUGUGGCAAGAUUAACUGCGGUGAAGCAGCACCAAACGGGAACCUGAUUCAUCUGUUAAUGUUAAGACAGGCUCAGAAACGACACCAGAAGAUGGAGGGAAGGUGCCUUGUCCGACCAAAUGGAAAUAAAAUAUGUCCUUCAGAGGUUAUUCUGUGUUAUUCAAGCGCAAACCUGCGCAAGGCUUCAAGAUCGGCCAAAACGAAUCUUUGUAUCUGUUCUCUUUAACAGCGGCUCUGAUCCUCCUAAUCUUUUGGACAUCAGUUGCCUACUGUGUAUUUUCACAUGUAUUUUUUAUUCUGUCGUGCAUUCUUUUGUACAUUUGUUUCCUAUUGUGUGUUUUGCCGUCGAAAUGAACAUCAAAGAUCUAAAAAAUCUAAGAUACAAAUGCAAGUCUACUUAACCAAAAACUCGUAAAUUUCAACUACCAAAAACAUGAAGAAGCAUACAAAGUCUUAUCAAAACAUAAGAUUGUCAGAAGUAACAGACAACUACAAGCUUAUACAAUCGGGCGCUAAAAAACUUAAGAUUCAGAAGCCUUCACAGGACAUCUACACAGGUGUCUAAAUAAAAAUUGUCCACAAAAGAAGGAUAUAUGACAGGAUGCAGCUAUCGAAAACAGAGUUUAAGAUGACAGAAUAUAUUCAAGAAAAAGAUAUAUAAUGCGCUCACAAGAUAAGCUUAAGCUGACCCACAUGCCCUGCUCACGCACAUGCUCUAGAGCAAGCUUUGCGUGAAGGAGGAGGCGGCCGUGCAGCCGUGCCCGUGGCCGUGGAGCCGUGGAGGUUGAGCAGCGGAGGAGAAAGGGGGGAGCGUCCGGCGGCGGCGUGGAAGAGGCGACCGGCGGCGGCUUGCGUUAGAGGAGCUAG
RNAcentral lists this long non-coding RNA (2898 nucleotides) under Triticum aestivum (bread wheat). RNAcentral describes it as "long non-coding RNA (TAES_LNC012511)". The record is from RNAcentral. Lineage: Eukaryota; Viridiplantae; Streptophyta; Magnoliopsida; Poales; Poaceae.